CACACCUUUGGGAAGCCCUGGACCUGCUGGGGUUGGACCCCAACACAUUCUGACUAGGAGCUGCAUUUGUCCCAAAGCCACUCCAACGGGCGUUUCUGCUGAAAAUGAGACAAAAGCCAGGUUUGACCAGAACAGAGGUUCUGAGCAGCAGAAAGCAAAAAUCAAGUCGGAGAAGACCUUCGGUUCUGGGGACUGAGGAACAGAAGGGCCAGCAGGGAGUGGUCCCAUGGAUGACUCACAUAGAGGCAUGCCCAAACACAGCCUAAGUGCCACAGCUCCCGGGAGGCAGGUACGGGGGGCAGGUGGGGGGACCUGUCAGCCCCCACCCCUCCACCCCUCCUGAAUCCAUCUUCUCCCCCCACGCCCAUGGUUACAGAAGAUGCUAGGAAGAGGAACAUUCUGUAUUCCUGUGUCAUGCUUUGUCCUUCAGCAAUAGAGUUGGAAUAAAUUACAAGAGAAGCAUUA
This is a long non-coding RNA of Myotis myotis, 465 nucleotides long. RefSeq lists it as uncharacterized. The record is from RefSeq and is a predicted model, not a curated record. The transcript is spliced from 2 exons. NCBI's taxonomy places the organism in Eukaryota, Metazoa, Chordata, Mammalia, Chiroptera, Vespertilionidae.